This 294-nucleotide long non-coding RNA is filed under the name Pan troglodytes (chimpanzee). RNAcentral's name for it is "long non-coding RNA NONPTRT013943". Lineage: Eukaryota; Metazoa; Chordata; Mammalia; Primates; Hominidae. The record is from RNAcentral.
UGAGUUCCAACUUGUGACCAAGACAAAAUGUUUGCCAUCUUUUUAAGAAUGUAUUAUGAACGAAUUCACUGAUGAAUGUAGGCUAUUAAUUACUGGCUUAAUUUCAGAACUUGUUAUUGAUCUAUUGAGGGAUUCCACUUCUUCUUGGUUUAGUCUUGGGAGGGUGUAUGUGUCCAGGAAUUUAUUUAUUUCCUCUAGAUUUUCUAGUUUAUUUGCAUAGAGGUGUUUAUAGUAUUCUCUGAUGGUAGUUUGUAUUUUUGUGGGAUCAGUGGUGAUAUCCCCUUUAUCAUUUUU